GUAGGUGGCAAGCGUUGUCCGGAAUUAUUGGGCGUAAAGCGCGCGCAGGCGGUCCUUUAAGUCUGAUGUGAAAGCCCACGGGCUCAACCGUGGAGGGUCAUUGGAAACUGGGGGACUUGAGUACAGAAGAGGAAAGCGGAAUUCCAAGUGUAGCGGUGAAAUGCGUAGAGAUUUGGAGGAACACCAGUGGCGAAGGCGGCUUUCUGGUCUGUAACUGACGCUGAGGCGCGAAAGCGUGGGGAGCAAACAGGAUUAGAUACCCUGGUAGUCCACGCCGUAAACGAUGAGUGCUAAGUGUUAGGGGGUUUCCGCUCCUUAGUGCUGCAGCUAACGCAUUAAGCACUCCGCCUGGGGAGUACGGCCGCAAAGGCUG
This 373-nucleotide ribosomal RNA is filed under the name uncultured organism. RNAcentral's name for it is "partial 16S ribosomal RNA". It matches the Rfam family "Bacterial small subunit ribosomal RNA", at positions 527 to 896 of the family's 1533-position model. The record is from RNAcentral.